This is a long non-coding RNA of Melanotaenia boesemani (Boeseman's rainbowfish), 85 nucleotides long. RefSeq lists it as uncharacterized. NCBI's taxonomy places the organism in Eukaryota, Metazoa, Chordata, Actinopteri, Atheriniformes, Melanotaeniidae. The transcript has 3 exons. The record is from RefSeq and is a predicted model, not a curated record.
GGUUGUAAGAAGUCAAACUCUAUUCAACUGGCAGCAUAUUGACCACUGGAAAUGUUUCAUAUCUCAUCAGCAUUCCUCUCUCUCA